UCGCUCUACUUUGUACUUGCACUAGAUCAUACUGUGAUAUAAACAAGACAGAGUCACAUAUGCUGAAAGAAACUCUGAAUACUUCACCAGAAUUUUCGGACAAAAAAAUCAUGGAUGAAACACAAGGUCAAUUUUAAGCGGCUCGACAAAGUGGGCGAUCUAACUGGCACAGAAGAAUGACUAGCACGGUACCGCAGAUUGGAGAUGAGCCGACAUUUAGCCUAUAGCAAUAUAAAUACAGCGUUCAAAGACAAAUCAGUGAAAAAUAACUUUAUUUACAAACAUAUACACUAUUGAAAACCAUUUCAUAAUUUGGAUGAUAUAUUUAAGGGUGUAUGGUGUCCUAUGAUAGAGCGCCCGGCUCGAGUGCGGAAGGUCGUGGGUCCGAUCCCUGGCUGCGUCAUAAUGGUACUAGUAGCUUCCUUUCUUGGCACUAAGAGGACUGUCAGUAUAAUCUGACUUAGUAGGAUACCAUGUUACGUGUUUACGGCGUAAUAUUCCAGUGAGUCAGCAUUAUAAAGUUGGGAUAGUACAAUUUUCAGCUAUUAAAACAGUGCCACAGUUCGUUUCCGGCGGAACUAACAUAUCAUUCUGGGAAACAUCAGACGAUGGGGCGCCCACUUGUAGUCGUCCACGUUCCUUGGAAGCUGAUGAUACAGCGCCACAUGUUAAGGUGAGACAAACGUCACUGUCAAGCCUCGUAG
Molecule: long non-coding RNA, 704 nt
Organism: Mercenaria mercenaria
Lineage: Eukaryota; Metazoa; Mollusca; Bivalvia; Venerida; Veneridae
Exons: 3
Source: RefSeq, a predicted model, not a curated record